RNAcentral lists this ribosomal RNA (460 nucleotides) under uncultured bacterium. Its description in RNAcentral is "partial 16S ribosomal RNA". It matches the Rfam family "Bacterial small subunit ribosomal RNA", at positions 338 to 795 of the family's 1533-position model. The record is from RNAcentral.
CCUACGGGAGGCUGCAGUGAGGAAUAUUGGUCAAUGGGCGCGAGCCUGAACCAGCCAAGUCGCGUGAGGGAGGACGGCCCUACGGGUUGUAAACCUCUUUUGCCGGGGAGCAACGGGCGUCACGUGUGGCGCCACUGCGAGUACCCGGAGAAAAAGCAUCGGCUAACUCCGUGCCAGCAGCCGCGGUAAUACGGAGGAUGCGAGCGUUAUCCGGAUUUAUUGGGUUUACAGGGUGCGUAGCCGGAUCGUUAAGUCAGUGGUCAAAUUGAGGGGCUCAACCCCUUCCCGCCAUUGAAACUGGCGUUCUUGAGUGGAAGAGAAGUAUGCGGAAUGCGUGGUGGAGCGGUGAAAUGCAUAGAUAUCAUGCAGGACCCCGAUUGCGAAGGCAGCAUGCCGGCUUCCGACUGACGCUGAAGCACGAAAGCGUGGGGAUCGAACAGGAUUAGAUACCCGAGUAGUG